CGUGAGCAAUCUGCCUUUGGAUGGGGGAUAACAGCCGGAAACGACUGCUAAUACCGCAUAAUGCAGCAGGACCGCAUGAUUUUGCUGCCAAAGAUUUAUCGUCCAAAGAUGAGCUCGCGUCUGAUUAGCCAGUUGGCGGGGUAACGGCCCACCAAAGCGACGAUCAGUAGCCGGACUGAGAGGUUGAACGGCCACAUUGGGACUGAGACACGGCCCAGACUCCUACGGAAGGCAGCAG
RNAcentral lists this ribosomal RNA (238 nucleotides) under uncultured bacterium. Its description in RNAcentral is "partial 16S ribosomal RNA". It matches the Rfam family "Bacterial small subunit ribosomal RNA", at positions 116 to 354 of the family's 1533-position model. The record is from RNAcentral.